This 74-nucleotide transfer RNA is filed under the name Bacillus thuringiensis. Its description in RNAcentral is "tRNA-Gln". It matches the Rfam family "tRNA". Rfam says of the family: Transfer RNA (tRNA) molecules are approximately 80 nucleotides in length. Their secondary structure includes four short double-helical elements and three loops (D, anti-codon, and T loops). Further hydrogen bonds mediate the characteristic L-shaped molecular structure. tRNAs have two regions of fundamental functional importance: the anti-codon, which is responsible for specific mRNA codon recognition, and the 3' end, to which the tRNAs corresponding amino acid is attached (by aminoacyl-tRNA synthetases). tRNAs cope with the degeneracy of the genetic code in two manners: having more than one tRNA (with a specific anti-codon) for a particular amino acid; and 'wobble' base-pairing, i.e. permitting non-standard base-pairing at the 3rd anti-codon position. RNAcentral also lists the same sequence under 1 other name. The record is from RNAcentral. Lineage: Bacteria; Bacillati; Bacillota; Bacilli; Caryophanales; Bacillaceae.
GGGCUAUAGCCAAGCGGUAAGGCAACGGACUUUGACUCCGUCAUGCGCUGGUUCGAAUCCUUCAUGGCUCAUCA